UGGGGAAUAUUGCGCAAUGGGGGGAACCCUGACGCAGCCAUGCGCGUGAAUGAAGAAGGCCUUAGGGUUGUAAAGUUCUUUCGGUAUUGAGGAAGGUUGAUGUGUUAAUAGCACAUCAAAUUGACGUUAAAUACAGAAGAAGCACCGGCUAACUCCGUGCCAGCAGCCGCGGUAAUACGGAGGGUGCGAGCGUUAAUCGGAAUAACUGGGCGUAAAGUUCACNCAGGCGGUUAUUUAAGUGAGGUGUGAAAGCCCCGGGCUUAACCUGGGAAUUGCAUUUCAGACUGGGUAACUAGAGUACUUUAGGGAGGGGUAGAAUUCCACGUGUAGCGGUGAAAUGCGUAGAGAUGUGGAGGAAUACCGAAGGNGAAGNNNGCCCCUUGGGAAUGUACUGACGCUCAUGUGCGAAAGCNNGGGGGAGCAAACAGGAUUAGAUACCCUGGUAGUCCACGCUGUAAACGCUGUCGAUUUGGGGGGUGGGGUUUAACUCUGGCGCCCGUAGCUAACGUGAUAAAUCGACCGCCUGGGGAGUACGGCCGCAAGUU
RNAcentral lists this ribosomal RNA (545 nucleotides) under uncultured bacterium. RNAcentral describes it as "bacterial SSU rRNA". It matches the Rfam family "Bacterial small subunit ribosomal RNA", at positions 355 to 894 of the family's 1533-position model. The record is from RNAcentral.